AUGCUGCACUACAGGCAUAUCAGAGAUGUCAGUUUAUGCAAAGUAUGUCAAGCCAAAGAGGAAGAUCAGGAGCAUGCAUUACUACACUGCUCACAUGCCCGACGGUUCUGGGAAGAAGCUAGGUUGGUGUUGGACAUCAAACUGCCAAGGCUUCAUCCAUCCUCUUGGGCGAGCGAUAUUUUAUGCGGCUCAAUGUUCAGUGGAAAGGAGCGCGCAACAAUAAUCACCAUCAUGUGGUCUAUUUGAAGCUCUCGUAACAGGUGCACACAUGACGGAGAGAAGUAUGAUCCGGUGACUUCUAUUAGACUCACCAGAGAAGCUUUGGCCUUGCUUGACGUUCCUCAACAGCAGGCAGCUCUCUUGCCAGGUCAUGGCUGGAGGCCACCAAAAUUGGGUCAGGUCAAAAUCAACACCGAUGCGCCGUUCGUCACUUGGCCGGAAUGA
This 444-nucleotide ribosomal RNA is filed under the name Triticum aestivum (bread wheat). RNAcentral's name for it is "partial small subunit ribosomal RNA". The record is from RNAcentral. Lineage: Eukaryota; Viridiplantae; Streptophyta; Magnoliopsida; Poales; Poaceae.